This 1475-nucleotide ribosomal RNA is filed under the name Campylobacter upsaliensis. RNAcentral's name for it is "partial 23S ribosomal RNA". It matches the Rfam family "Bacterial large subunit ribosomal RNA", at positions 1 to 1505 of the family's 2925-position model. Lineage: Bacteria; Pseudomonadati; Campylobacterota; Epsilonproteobacteria; Campylobacterales; Campylobacteraceae. The record is from RNAcentral.
AGGUAAGCUACUAAGAGCGAAUGGUGGAUGCCUUGACUGGUAGAGGCGAUGAAGGACGUACUAGACUGCGAUAAGCUAGGUGGAGCUGUCAAGAAGCUUUGAUGCCUAGAUUUCCGAAUGGGGCAACCCAGUAUAUAGAGAUAUAUACUACCAUAAUGGAGCGAACGAGGGGAAUUGAAACAUCUUAGUACCCUCAGGAAAAGAAAUCAAACGAGAUUGCGUCAGUAGCGGCGAGCGAAAGCGUAAGAGGGCAAACCCAGUGCUUGCACUGGGGGUUGUAGGACUGCAAUGUGCAAGAGGAAAGGUUAGCAGAACACUCUGGAAAGUGUAGCCAUAGAGGGUGAUAGUCCCGUAUGCAAAAACCUAACCUUAGCUAGCAGUAUCCUGAGUAGGGCGGGACACGAGAAAUCCUGUCUGAAGCUGGGUAGACCACUAUCCAACCCUAAAUACUACUACCAGAUCGAUAGCGAACAAGUACCGUGAGGGAAAGGUGAAAAGAACGGCGGUGAGCCGAGUGAAAUAGAACCUGAAACCAUUUGCUUACAAUCAUUCAGAGCACUAUGUAGCAAUACAGUGUGAUGGACUGCCUUUUGCAUAAUGAGCCUGCGAGUUGUGGUGUCUGGCAAGGUUAAGCUAACGCGAAGCCGUAGCGAAAGCGAGUCUGAAUAGGGCGCUAAGUCAGAUGCUGCAGACCCGAAACGAAGUGAUCUAUCCAUGAGCAGGUUGAAGCUAGUGUAAGAACUAGUGGAGGACCGAACCCGCUAGCGUUGAAAAGCUAUGGGAUGACUUGUGGAUAGGGGUGAAAGGCCAAUCAAACUUCGUGAUAGCUGGUUCUCUCCGAAAUAUAUUUAGGUAUAGCGUUGUGUCGUAACUAAAGGGGGUAGAGCACUGAAUGGGCUAGGGCAUACACCAAUGUACCAAACCCUAUCAAACUCCGAAUACCUUUAGUGUAAUCACAGCAGUCAGGCGGCGAGUGAUAAAAUCCGUCGUCAAGAGGGAAACAACCCAGACUAACAGCUAAGGUCCCCAAAUCUUACUUAAGUGGAAAACGAUGUGAAGUUACUUAAACAACCAGGAGGUUGGCUUAGAAGCAGCCAUCCUUUAAAGAAAGCGUAAUAGCUCACUGGUCUAGUGAUUUUGCGCGGAAAAUAUAACGGGGCUAAAGUAAGUACCGAAGCUUUAGACUUAGUUUACUAAGUGGUAGGAGAGCGUUCUAUUUGCGUCGAAGGUAUACCGACAAGGAGUGCUGGAGCGAAUAGAAGUGAGCAUGCAGGCAUGAGUAGCGAUAAUUAAUGUGAGAAUCAUUAACGCCGUAAACCCAAGGUUUCCUACGCGAUGCUCGUCAUCGUAGGGUUAGUCGGGUCCUAAGCUGAGUCCGAAAGGGGUAAGCGAUGGCAAAUAGGUUAAUAUUCCUAUACCAACAUUAGUGUGCGAUGGAAGGACGCUUAGGGCUAAGGGGGCUAGCGGAUGGAAGU